CAGUCGACGACAUAGUGGCAGACGGGUGAGUAACGCGUGGGAACGUACCCUUCACUACGGAAUAGCCUCUGGAAACGGAAGGUAAUACCGUAUACGCCCUCCGGGGGAAAGAUUUAUCGGUGAAGGAUCGGCCCGCGUUAGAUUAGUUUGUUGGUGGGGUAAUGGCCUACCAAGACUACGAUCUAUAGCUGGUCUGAGAGGAUGAUCAGCCACACUGGGACUGAGACACGGCCCAGACUCCUACGGGAGGCAGCAGUGGGGAAUCUUGCACAAUGGGCGAAAGCCUGAUGCAGCCAUGCCGCGUGAAUGAUGAAGGCCUUAGGGUUGUAAAAUUCUUUCGCCAGGGAUGAUAAUGACAGUACCUGGUAAAGAAGCCCCGGCUAACUUCGUGCCAGCAGCCGCGGUAAUACGAAGGGGGCUAGCGUUGUUCGGAAUUACUGGGGC
This 444-nucleotide ribosomal RNA is filed under the name uncultured Alphaproteobacteria bacterium. RNAcentral describes it as "bacterial SSU rRNA". It matches the Rfam family "Bacterial small subunit ribosomal RNA", at positions 81 to 560 of the family's 1533-position model. The record is from RNAcentral. Lineage: Bacteria; Pseudomonadati; Pseudomonadota; Alphaproteobacteria.